Molecule: ribosomal RNA, 253 nt
Filed under: uncultured bacterium
Lineage: Bacteria
Description: partial 16S ribosomal RNA
Rfam family: Bacterial small subunit ribosomal RNA
Source: RNAcentral
UACGGAGGGCGCAAGCGUUAGUCGGAAUUACUGGGCGUAAAGCGCAUGCAGGUGGUUUGUUAAGUCAGAUGUGAAAGCCCUGGGCUCAACCUAGGAAUCGCAUUUGAAACUGACAAGCUAGAGUACUGUAGAGGGGGGUAGAAUUUCAGGUGUAGCGGUGAAAUGCGUAGAGAUCUGAAGGAAUACCGGUGGCGAAGGCGGCCCCCUGGACAGAUACUGACACUCAGAUGCGAAAGAGUGGGGAGCAAACAGG